CUAAAAUGUAAUGUCUCCCAUCUUCCCGAGUGGCUGCUUUCACAACAUAUAGCUAAUGGUGCCCAUUACAGCAGCAGAGACAAAGACAGCCAGCAUCUUUCACAGUAAUGACAGGUCCUAAGGGUCAGAACUAGAAGUACUUUCUUUGUGAGUCUCAAAGAGUUUGAUUUUGAUAAAUUACUUUUAUUGUCUUAGCUCAGUUUUGGAAUAUCCUUGAUUUUACUUUGAAAAGUUUUCACAGUGUGGAUUCUGGUGGAGCUUGGGCAGUAUAGAAGAGGGAUGAAAAGGUGGAAACCAAGCAGAAGAGAGGCCGCACUUUUUAUUGCAUUUUGAAGUAUGCUUUAUGGAUUUGGGACAUGCUUUGUUGGUCUAGUGUCCUGGAAAGAUAAUUGAAUCAUCCUUCUCAAUGGACCAGUUUCUGAACUGCUACAGAAAGAGACUGGCUCGGGAGUUGGCUUCUGCCCUGCUGAUUGAUGUGCCUUCUCCACCAUCCUUCAGCACAAUCGGCGCAGCCCACCAGGAGUACCACUCAGGAGCCACCGACAUCAUUUGAAUGACCCUUCAUCACCUCCAGUCCUCUCUUAAAACUUCCAUUAAAAGAGGUCAAAUGCUGCCUCGGAGCCUGUUAGCAGCUCCCACCUGAAAGUCACCCAAUUUUCAUUUACAAUUUGUUAGUCAUUUGUGACGUGUUUUUCAGCAGUGCUCUUUUUAACAGCUUCCAGUUUGUUCAGUGUCUUUUCUCCACCUGCUCAGAGAACUUCUUCUGAUGGGAAAAGUUCAGUUGAUACCAAGGAAAGUUUAAUAUACUUCUAUGUUUAUCCUUUAAGAUUUCUUUUCUUUCUGGCUGAUAGGUGAUGAAACAACAUUCACACAACUACAAAGUUCCCCUUUCUAUGAUGGAUAAAUUUCAUGUCAUCCCAGAAUACCUGUUUAACAUUAAAAAGUUGAUGGAAAUCUUUGUUAUCAAGGAAGAUCUCUCAAAUAAAUACCCUUUUCCCCCCCAAAACAAAUCUGCAUUAUUUUUAUCUCCAUAAUAUAUAGAAGAUGACACAUUAUUUCAAAAUAUUAGUGUUCUCUUAUUCCCGGGCAAGUAGAGAAAGCUAUAAGAGCAUUGAAAUAGUGAUUGGUAUAUAUGUUAUUAUUGCAACCAAUUUUUCUACUGAUCUA
RNAcentral lists this long non-coding RNA (1167 nucleotides) under Equus caballus (horse). RNAcentral describes it as "lncRNA (ENSECAG00000048604.1)". The record is from RNAcentral. Lineage: Eukaryota; Metazoa; Chordata; Mammalia; Perissodactyla; Equidae.